CCUGGCGGCCUUAGCGCGGUGGUCCCACCUGACCCCAUGCCGAACUCAGAAGUGAAACGCCGUAGCGCCGAUGGUAGUGUGGGUCCCCCAUGCGAGAGUAGGGAACUGCCAGGC
This 114-nucleotide ribosomal RNA is filed under the name Escherichia coli. The record is from RNAcentral. Lineage: Bacteria; Pseudomonadati; Pseudomonadota; Gammaproteobacteria; Enterobacterales; Enterobacteriaceae.